GAUUCAUGGCAGGGUCUUCUGAUCUGACAGCUUUAUUUCUUUUAUAAAUAGAAGCAUGUGCCCUCAAAAGAGGCCAAGGAUAUUUUCAAAGUUGAUCAGGAUUGCAACUCUGGAAGUUGUGGGACCUACUGCUCCUGCGGGACUGUGACCAAUCUGGAGUGCAGCAACUUACAUGCUGACCUUUGCAGACUUCCAGUGGUCAGGGGAAAAUGGAGGAGAUUUGCAAAAUAAUUUGGCCCAGCAAACGAGGAGACAAAUGCUAGAAAAAUAAAAUGAGAAGCCACCUGCCUUAUACAGUUAAGGUUGGCUUAGAGUUUGUCAAGUGGCUGACAAGCUGUCCAACUCUUAAGCACUUAAAAAAACUUGACAUUCUUCAUGGUAGAAGCAGGGAGUUACAUAUUUACUUUUAUAUGGAGGGGAGAAAAGCUUUUCUUAAAACAAAAAGCUUCACAAAAUGUGGGUUCCACUGGCUCGGUCACAUCCUGAAUUCUCCUGGAGGCAGUGAACCACUUCCUUGAACUGUUGCAGUCAAUGGACGGCACCUAUCGUUGAUCAGCUGGAGUGACCGGAGAUACCUCACCUCAUCAUUUACACACAUGUUCUUCAGUGGGGAGAGAGAAGGAGGAGACAAACUAAUAAAGGAACAUGCUCUACCAUC
Molecule: long non-coding RNA, 658 nt
Organism: Chiloscyllium plagiosum (whitespotted bambooshark)
Lineage: Eukaryota; Metazoa; Chordata; Chondrichthyes; Orectolobiformes; Hemiscylliidae
Source: RefSeq, a predicted model, not a curated record